Molecule: ribosomal RNA, 211 nt
Filed under: Limosilactobacillus reuteri
Lineage: Bacteria; Bacillati; Bacillota; Bacilli; Lactobacillales; Lactobacillaceae
Description: partial 16S ribosomal RNA
Rfam family: Bacterial small subunit ribosomal RNA
Source: RNAcentral
AUGAGAGUUUGAUCCUGGCUCAGGAUGAACGCCGGCGGUGUGCCUAAUACAUGCAAGUCGUACGCACUGGCCCAACUGAUUGAUGGUGCUUGCACCUGAUUGACGAUGGAUCACCAGUGAGUGGCGGACGGGUGAGUAACACGUAGGUAACCUGCCCCGGAGCGGGGGAUAACAUUUGGAAACAGAUGCUAAUACCGCAUAACAACAAAAG